AACCUCCGCAAUGUGAGAAAUCGCGACGGGGGAUCCCAAGUGCCAUUCUUAACGGGAUGGCUUUUCAUUAGUGUAAAGAGCUUUUGGAAUAAGAGCUGGGCAAGACCGGUGCCAGCCGCCGCGGUAACACCGGCAGCUCUAGUGGUAACAAUUUUUAUUGGGCCUAAAGCGUCCGUAGCCGGUUUAAUAAGUCUCUGGUGAAAUCCUGCAGCUUAACUGUGGGAAUUGCUGGAGAUACUAUUAGACUUGAGACCGGGAGAGGUUAGAGGUACUCCCAGGGUAGAGGUGAAAUUCUGUAAUCCUGGGAGGACCGCCUGUUGCGAAGGCGUCUAACUGGAACGGUUCUGACGGUGAGGGACGAAAGUUAGGGGCGCGAACCGGAUUAGAUACCCGGGUAGUCCUAACUGUAAACGAUGCGGACUUGGUGUUGGGGUGGCUUUGAGCUGCUUCAGUGCCGAAGGGAAGCUGUUAAGUCCGCCGCCUGGGAAGUACGGUCGCAAGACUGAAACUUAAAGGAAUU
RNAcentral lists this ribosomal RNA (520 nucleotides) under uncultured bacterium. RNAcentral describes it as "bacterial SSU rRNA". It matches the Rfam family "Archaeal small subunit ribosomal RNA", at positions 345 to 866 of the family's 1478-position model. The record is from RNAcentral.